Long non-coding RNA from Drosophila pseudoobscura, 1488 nucleotides. RefSeq lists it as uncharacterized. The record is from RefSeq and is a predicted model, not a curated record. The transcript is spliced from 6 exons. Lineage: Eukaryota; Metazoa; Arthropoda; Insecta; Diptera; Drosophilidae.
GCGAACAAAAUGCUCUGUGUAAUUUUUCAUGACCCCCAUCACAUCUCUACUGCAUCCCAAGCGCUACAGCUGGGACCUUGUCAGUAGAUUGGGGCAGGGUCUGGGGCCUAGGGAGGCGAAGUGUAUACCAUUCAAAAUCGUAGCAGAUUGAGCUGUUGAGCCCAAGAGAAAAAUGGAGAAGGAAAAGGAGAUGGAGAUGGAGAAGCAGCAACCAGCAUGACAACUGAGCCUCUGCUGCCUUUAUCACUUCUCCUCGCUGUAUAUGCCACUUUUUUAUAUUACUUGGCAAAUAUCGAUAAGAGACAGUAAGAGAGAGAGAGAGAGAUGGAGAGAGAGAGGGGUCCCAGUAGCCCAUCUCCCUUGCUGUCACUCUGUCUGUCGCUUCCACUUUGCCUUUUGCAAUAUUUGGCGACAGUAAAUGUUUGCUAAAUAUCCUCAGUAAAUACUUGGCAGCUUAUACUUGGAUUCGUAUUCCCUUUCCUUCCUAAUAUAUACACAUAAAUAUCAAAGUACAGUAAGGAUUCGCCCGUUCUUUGUGGUAUUGAGCCUGGUCUUUGUGCUGGAGUGUCCACUGUACUUCAGAGCUCCCAACUGAGCGACUCCGCUGAGCAAGGAAGUCUGGCAUAAUUUGUGCCUCCUGAAAUUCGCUUUCGAUCAUUUUCAAGUCGUAAAUCUGGAGAGCGGGUAUUUUAUGGUCGGUAUAGUGGAGUUUCUGCUGGUUUUUUAUGAUACUAUAUGCUGUAGAACGGCAAAAACAACAGCAAUACAAGAGUGCUAGUAGAUUCUAAAAAAGCACAUCUUAUACGAGUACGAGACUUUGAUAGAGAGACUUUAAGCUAAUUUCUGGUUAACUCAAUCACAGUUUUGCCCCAUCACUGCUUGUGGCAGCCAGAAUUCACCCACAGAAAGACUGAAGCAGAGUAAAAGAGAGAGGUAAAGAUACAGAGACAGAGAAAGCGAUGUGUACAGAGCGACAGACUGUGAGAGAGAGAGACGAAGAUGGUGCGAUGGAGCUGGAGCUGGAGGCAGCAGCAGAUCUCCCAGCCACUGUCCGGAUACCACUCUGCAUAUAAGCCAGGAAUCCCGGCCAGAAAUGGAACUCAUUGGACCAGCAGUAGCAGCAGCCCCCCCUAUAGAAGAGACCUAAAGCAAACACCACAAAUUAGUCGGCAUAAGACACGAACCGUCCGACCAGUGAGAGAUCCUUACUCGAAGGCUACUCGCAUUGAACUAAUUCACCAGAUAUUGAAAGAGUCGUAAAAUUGUGAAAUAACAAAAACAAAAGACACUCUUUGUUUUUUUUGCUCUUCUUUCUAGAGUCUCAUCUUUAUACCCUAGUCGAAGGUACUUCAAUUAUGGCCAAAAGUUUGUCACGAAAAAAGCAAAGAAUUUCCGAAAAAACUUGAUCCAUUUAUUUUUGAGUUAUCUAAAUUAUUCUCUGUUUCAAAUUUUGAAUAAAAUUACCUACCUGGAUGAUGCACAUCUGAA